Molecule: ribosomal RNA, 433 nt
Filed under: uncultured bacterium
Lineage: Bacteria
Description: partial 16S ribosomal RNA
Rfam family: Bacterial small subunit ribosomal RNA
Source: RNAcentral
AGCGAACGCUGGCGGCAGGCCUAACACAUGCAAGUCGAACGAACUCUUCGGAGUUAGUGGCGGACGGGUGAGUAACACGUGGGAACGUGCCUUUAGGUCCGGAAUAACUCAGGGAAACUUGUGCUAAUACCGAAUGUGCUCUUCGGGGGAAAGAUUUAUCGCCUUUAGAGCGGCCCGCGUCUGAUUAGCUAGUUGGUGAGGUAAAGGCGCACCAAGGCGACGAUCAGUAGCUGGUCUGAGAGGAUGGUCAGCCACAUUGGGACUGAGACACGGCCCAAACUCCUACGGGAGGCAGCAGUGGGGAAUCUUGCGCAAUGGGCGAAAGCCUGACGCAGCCAUGCCGCGUGAAUGAUGAAGGUCUUAGGAUUGUAAAAUUCUUUCACCGGGGACGAUAAUGACGGUACCCGGAGAAGAAGCCCCGGCUAACUUCGUG